Molecule: long non-coding RNA, 821 nt
Organism: Peromyscus eremicus (cactus mouse)
Lineage: Eukaryota; Metazoa; Chordata; Mammalia; Rodentia; Cricetidae
Exons: 4
Source: RefSeq, a predicted model, not a curated record
GGAAAGCUGCUGAGGCCAGGCAUGUGUCAGGGGUGUCCCUGAAUGGAGGUCCAGAGAGGCCAUUGUGUGAAACUGUAAAGUUGAAGUCUGGAUUGCCUUAGAGACCCCAAGAAGUUAGAGAUGCCAGAGUCCUGAGAUACUUACCGAAGAGCUGCUAAUAGGGAGUGGAACCAGCCCAAGAGAAAGAAGUGUGUUGCAGUCAACAAAGAUGAAAGGAAUUGGAAAUCUGAAUAGCAUUUGACAUCAGAGACAGAGAUGGAGAGUUUGGACUUUGCGCAGCUGUUUUUAGUCUUGCUUUGGAUCAAGAUGUAGGACACUAGAGUACAUUUCCAGCACCAUAUCUGCCUGCACACCACCAUGCCCCACCAUGAUGAUAAUGAACUGAACCUCUGAAAUCACUUGGGAGGCAACGACAAGAAGAUCAGGAGUUCAAGACCAGCCUUGGCUACAUAUUGCAUUUUGGCUGGUUUGGGCUACCUGAAACUGACUCAGAAAGAAAACCAACAACAACAAACCAAGAACAGCCAGGCUGAAGUAAUGGAGUAAAGAGAGUAAAGAAGCUACCAAGCAGAUAGCCUGAGACUGAUCCUAUGUGGUGUGGAAGGAGAGAACUGACUCCUAAGAGUUUAUCUUAGGAACUUCCCAUGCUUGUCAUAGCAUGUGCUUACCCUCCUAAAUAAAUAUGUACCAGUGACCUGCUUUGGCCAAGUCUCAAGUUAAUGAGUACUGCUGUACACUAAACAACGUGGAUAUCCAGCUAGUGCCAUGAACCCAGUGCUGACGUGCAAAAAUACAGGAUUUUCUGUCGAUUUUCAUCACCC